AUUGAACGCUGGCGGCACGCCUAACACAUGCAAGUCGAGCGGUAGCAUGGUUAGUAGCAAUACUAACUGAUGACGAGCGGCGGACGGGUGAGGAAAACGUAGGAAUCCACCCUCAAGCGGGGGACAACCAAGGGAAACUUUGGCUAAUACCGCAUAAUACUCGAGAGAGAAAAGCUGCUGGUAACGGUGGCACUUGAGGAGGAGCCUGCGUCCGAUUAGCUAGUUGGAGAGGUAAGAGCUCACCAAGGCGAUGAUCGGUAACUGGUCUGAGAGGACGACCAGUCACACUGGGACUGAGACACGGCCCAGACUCCUACGGGUGGCAG
RNAcentral lists this ribosomal RNA (326 nucleotides) under uncultured Pseudomonadota bacterium. RNAcentral's name for it is "bacterial SSU rRNA". It matches the Rfam family "Bacterial small subunit ribosomal RNA", at positions 30 to 351 of the family's 1533-position model. Lineage: Bacteria; Pseudomonadati; Pseudomonadota. The record is from RNAcentral.